Ornithorhynchus anatinus (platypus) is the source of this 138-nucleotide small nucleolar RNA. Lineage: Eukaryota; Metazoa; Chordata; Mammalia; Monotremata; Ornithorhynchidae. The record is from RefSeq and is a predicted model, not a curated record.
UACAUCUCAGGGUCCCACCUGGAGAAUUUCCAAUACUCUACCAGUCUCGACUGUGGGAGGGAGAGUCAAGCAGAGGCAUAUCUGUUCCAUUCCUAGCUUGGACAGCGGCUAGUGAAUGGAAGGCAAUCUGCUACAAGU